Strongyloides stercoralis is the source of this 46-nucleotide non-coding RNA. The record is from Rfam. Lineage: Eukaryota; Metazoa; Nematoda; Chromadorea; Rhabditida; Strongyloididae.
UAUAAAGCUUUAUUGAAAGCUACUAUUAUAAAGAAACAAUUAAUUU